This 740-nucleotide ribosomal RNA is filed under the name Pseudocercospora pistacina. RNAcentral's name for it is "eukaryotic LSU rRNA". It matches the Rfam family "Eukaryotic large subunit ribosomal RNA", at positions 98 to 870 of the family's 3401-position model. The record is from RNAcentral. Lineage: Eukaryota; Fungi; Ascomycota; Dothideomycetes; Mycosphaerellales; Mycosphaerellaceae.
GCGGCAACAGCUCAAAUUUGAAAUCUGGCGCAAGCCCGAGUUGUAAUUUGUAGAGGAUGCUUCUGGGUAGCGGCCGGUCUAAGUUCCUUGGAACAGGACGUCAUAGAGGGUGAGAAUCCCGUAUGUGACUGGCUUGCACCCUCCACGUAGCUCCUUCGACGAGUCGAGUUGUUUGGGAAUGCAGCUCUAAAUGGGAGGUAAAUUUCUUCUAAAGCUAAAUACCGGCCAGAGACCGAUAGCGCACAAGUAGAGUGAUCGAAAGAUGAAAAGCACUUUGGAAAGAGAGUUAAAAAGCACGUGAAAUUGUUGAAAGGGAAGCGCCCGCAACCAGACUUUGCGGCAGCGUUCGGCCGGUCUUCUGACCGGUUUACUCGCUGUCGUGAGGCCAUCAUCGUCUGGGACCGCUGGAUAAGACCCGGGGAAUGUAGCUCCCCUCGGGGAGUGUUAUAGCCUCUGGUGAUGCAGCGCGUCUCGGGCGAGGUCCGCGCUUCGGCAAGGAUGAUGGCGUAAUGGUUGUCGGCGGCCCGUCUUGAAACACGGACCAAGGAGUCUAACAUCUAUGCGAGUGUUCGGGUGUCAAACCCCUACGCGUAAUGAAAGUGAACGGAGGUGGGAACUUUUUGUGCACCAUCGACCGAUCCUGAUGUCCUCGGAUGGAUUUGAGUAAGAGCAUAGCUGUUGGGACCCGAAAGAUGGUGAACUAUGCCUGAAUAGGGUGAAGCCAGAGGAAACUCUGGUGG